RNAcentral lists this ribosomal RNA (179 nucleotides) under uncultured bacterium. Its description in RNAcentral is "partial 16S ribosomal RNA". It matches the Rfam family "Bacterial small subunit ribosomal RNA", at positions 1314 to 1500 of the family's 1533-position model. The record is from RNAcentral.
GACUCCAUGAAGCUGGAUUCGCUAGUAAUCGCGCAUCAGCCACGGCGCGGUGAAUACGUUCCCGGGCCUUGCACACACCGCCCGUCAAGCCAUGGAAGCCGGGAGUGCCUGAAGUGCGUGAGCGCAAGCAGCGCCCUAAGGUAAAACCGGUGACUGGGGCUAAGUCGUAACAAGGUAAC